UACGAAGGGGGCUAGCGUUGCUCGGAAUCACUGGGCGUAAAGCGCACGUAGGCGGCUUUUUAAGUCAGGGGUGAAAUCCUGGAGCUCAACUCCAGAACUGCCUUUGAUACUGAGAAGCUUGAGUCCGGGAGAGGUGAGUGGAACUGCGAGUGUAGAGGUGAAAUUCGUAGAUAUUCGCAAGAACACCAGUGGCGAAGGCGGCUCACUGGCCCGGUACUGACGCUGAGGCGCGAAAGCUAGGGGAGCAAACGGG
This 253-nucleotide ribosomal RNA is filed under the name uncultured bacterium. RNAcentral describes it as "partial 16S ribosomal RNA". It matches the Rfam family "Bacterial small subunit ribosomal RNA", at positions 524 to 776 of the family's 1533-position model. The record is from RNAcentral.